Molecule: unclassified non-coding RNA, 328 nt
Filed under: soil metagenome
Description: partial contains 5.8S ribosomal RNA, internal transcribed spacer 2, and large subunit ribosomal RNA
Rfam family: 5.8S ribosomal RNA (bases 1-120)
Source: RNAcentral
GAUGAAGAACGUAGCGAAAUGCGAUAAGUAAUGUGAAUUGCAGAAUUCAGUGAAUCAUCGAAUCUUUGAACGCACAUUGCGCCCCUUGGUAUUCCGAGGGGCAUGCCCGUUCGAGCGUCAUUUAAACCAAUCUAGCUUGCUAGGUCUUGGGCUUUCGCCUCUGGGCGGGCCUCAAAAUCAGUGGCGGUGCUGCCGGGCUUUAAGCGUAGUAAUCUUUCUCGCUAUAGGGUCCUGGUAGAGGCUUGCCAACAACUAUAAAUCUUUCAAAGGUUGACCUCGGAUCAGGUAGGGAUACCCGCUGAACUUAAGCAUAUCAAUAAGCGGAGGA